This 306-nucleotide unclassified non-coding RNA is filed under the name plant metagenome. Its description in RNAcentral is "partial contains 5.8S ribosomal RNA, internal transcribed spacer 2, and large subunit ribosomal RNA". The stretch from base 1 to 105 matches the Rfam family "5.8S ribosomal RNA", at positions 50 to 154 of the family's 154-position model. The record is from RNAcentral.
GAAAUGCGAUAAGUAGUGUGAAUUGCAGAAUUCAGUGAAUCAUCGAAUCUUUGAACGCACAUUGCGCCCCUUGGUAUUCCAUGGGGCAUGCCUGUUCGAGCGUCAUCUACACCCUCAAGCUCUGCUUGGUGUUGGGCGUCUUUGUCCCGCCUCCGCGCGCGGACUCGCCCCAAAUUCAUUGGCAGCGGUCCUUGCCUCCUCUCGCGCAGCACAUUGCUCUUCUCGAGGUGUUGCGGCCCGCGUCCAGAAAGCAAUCGUUACCGUCUUUGACCUCGGAUCAGGUAGGGAUACCCGCUGAACUUAAGC